UGGGGAAUAUUGGACAAUGGGCGAAAGCCUGAUCCAGCCAUGCCGCGUGUGUGAAGAAGGUCUUCGGAUUGUAAAGCACUUUAAGUUGGGAGGAAGGGCAGUAAGCGAAUACCUUGCUGUUUUGACGUUACCGACAGAAUAAGCACCGGCUAACUCUGUGCCAGCAGCCGCGGUAAUACAGAGGGUGCAAGCGUUAAUCGGAAUUACUGGGCGUAAAGCGCGCGUAGGUGGUUCGUUAAGUUGAAUGUGAAAGCCCCGGGCUCAACCUGGGAACUGCAUCCAAAGCUUGCGAGCUAGAGUAGGGCAGAGGGUGGUGGAAUUUCCUGUGUAGCGGUGAAAUGCGUAGAUAUAGGAAGGAACACAAGUGGCGAAGGCGACCACCUGGGCUCAUACUGACACUGAGGUGCGAAAGCGUGGGGAGCAAACAGG
This 429-nucleotide ribosomal RNA is filed under the name Pseudomonadota bacterium. RNAcentral's name for it is "Proteobacteria bacterium partial 16S ribosomal RNA". It matches the Rfam family "Bacterial small subunit ribosomal RNA", at positions 355 to 776 of the family's 1533-position model. Lineage: Bacteria; Pseudomonadati; Pseudomonadota. The record is from RNAcentral.